This 358-nucleotide unclassified non-coding RNA is filed under the name soil metagenome. RNAcentral describes it as "partial contains 5.8S ribosomal RNA, internal transcribed spacer 2, and large subunit ribosomal RNA". The stretch from base 1 to 120 matches the Rfam family "5.8S ribosomal RNA", at positions 35 to 154 of the family's 154-position model. The record is from RNAcentral.
GAUGAAGAACGCAGCGAAAUGCGAUAAGUAAUGUGAAUUACAGAAUUCAGUGAAUCAUCGAAUCUUUGAACGCACAUUGCGCCCGUCAGUAUUCUGGCGGGCAUGCCUGUUCGAGCGUCAUUACGCCCCUCAAGUCCCCUGUGGACUUGGUGUUGGGGAUCGGCGAGGCUGGUUUUCCAGCACAGCCGUCCCUUAAAUUAAUUGGCGGUCUCGCCGUGGCCCUCCUCUGCGCAGUAGUAAAACACUCGCAACAGGAGCCCGGCGCGGUCCACUGCCGUAAAACCCCCCAACUUUUUAUAGUUGACCUCGAAUCAGGUAGGACUACCCGCUGAACUUAAGCAUAUCAAUAAGCGGAGGA